This 843-nucleotide ribosomal RNA is filed under the name Triticum aestivum (bread wheat). RNAcentral's name for it is "partial small subunit ribosomal RNA". The record is from RNAcentral. Lineage: Eukaryota; Viridiplantae; Streptophyta; Magnoliopsida; Poales; Poaceae.
GCUGAACGUUACCGCUGCAGGCUGGCAUGUUCCAGUGCUCGACCGCCGAUAGCCAAGCCAUGGCGACGGCUUUCCCUGCACCUACACUCUCAGCGUCGACGAUCUGGGUUCAUGCUAAGUAACAAAUCCCCAUCAUAUUUGGAGUCAAACGAGCGUGAAUGGAAAGUGGAUGAAUCCAGACGAUACACGGACGAACGAAGCAAGAAGCAACAGAUGAUCAGUGCCAUAAGGAUGGCACUGGGGUCAUUGGGUGAUGAUGAGACGUCAAUGAAUGUUUCAGCCUACGACACGGCAUUGGUCUCCCUUGUGCAGAACAUUGACGGGAAUGAUAAACCGCAAUUCCCCUCAUGUAUCGACUGGAUUAUACAAAAUCAACUACCAGAUGGUUCGUGGGGCGACCCUGAUUACUUUAUGGUCCAAGAUCGGAUGAUCAACACCCUGGCUUGUGUAGUAGCAGUGAAGUCUUGGAAUAUUGACAGUGACGACUUGUGUGACAGAGGUGUGUUAUUUAUCCAAGAAAAUAUGAGCAGGUUGGUAGAAGAGGAACAAGACUGGAUGCCAUGUGGCUUCGAGAUUAACUUCCCAGCAAUCCUAGAGAAGGCAAAGGACCUGGAUUUGGACAUCCCUUAUAAUCACCCUGUUCUUGAAGAGAUAUAUGCCAAGAGAAAUCUAAAGCUCUCUAAGUAUGAUACCUCUGGAUGUGCUACACGCCAUACCAACGACCCUACUUUACAGCAUGGAAGGAAUGGUAGACUUGCAGUUGGAUUGGGAAAAGCUACUCAAGUUGCGGUGUCUGGACGGCUCCUUCCAUUCCUCGCCUGCUGCAACAGCUGCUGCCCUCAG